GUGUCUAGAGCUUGUGUGUAAAUCUUUAAGGCAUGCCAAACCAAUCUUCCUAAAGAGGUACACAAUGACACACUGCAUACAAUUCCGGCUGCAAAUCACAAAACACUUCAGAUUGUGACAAAUGUGAAAACGGGAAUGCAACAAGCCCCUGAUAAUCCGUAAAUCUGACAGGAUUACUCUACGCUCUGCAAGGUCUGUGCAAGGAAAAUCAGCCCCUGACUGCUCAUCUCUAUCCUAC
Molecule: non-coding RNA, 238 nt
Organism: Pelobates cultripes (western spadefoot toad)
Lineage: Eukaryota; Metazoa; Chordata; Amphibia; Anura; Pelobatidae
Source: the annotation of a GenBank genome assembly